Myotis brandtii (Brandt's bat) is the source of this 123-nucleotide non-coding RNA. Lineage: Eukaryota; Metazoa; Chordata; Mammalia; Chiroptera; Vespertilionidae. The record is from Rfam.
GCAAUUCAGCAGUUGACCACUCAGUUCAUGAGCCGAUGAAAAACACAGCUAACUGUGAGGAUUAACAUGAAUUGCAGGACACACUGAUCAUCAACACUUCAAACCAUACUUGCAGCCCUGUGU